RNAcentral lists this ribosomal RNA (391 nucleotides) under uncultured bacterium. Its description in RNAcentral is "bacterial SSU rRNA". It matches the Rfam family "Bacterial small subunit ribosomal RNA", at positions 30 to 424 of the family's 1533-position model. The record is from RNAcentral.
AUUGAACGCUGGCGGAAUGCUUUACACAUGCAAGUCGAACGGCAGCACGGGGCAACCUGGUGGCGAGUGGCGAACGGGUGAGUAAUAUAUCGGAACGUGCCCAAUCGUGGGGGAUAACGUAGCGAAGUUACGCUAAUACCGCAUACGAUCUACGGAUGAAAGCGGGGGAUCGCAAGACCUCGCGCGAAUGGAGCGGCCGAUAUCAGAUUAGGUAGUUGGUGGGGUAAAGGCUCACCAAGCCAACGAUCUGUAGCUGGUCUGAGAGGACGACCAGCCACACUGGAACUGAGACACGGUCCAGACUCCUACGGGAGGCAGCAGUGGGGAAUUUUGGACAAUGGGCGCAAGCCUGAUCCAGCCAUUCCGCGUGCAGGAUGAAGGCCUUCGGGUU